ACUGAACAUGCUGGGUAGAAUCUGAUUUCCCCUAACCCAAUACAGGACUAUGAUGCUUUCUGUGGACCGUCUGCCCUGCUCCAGCCUGACCCCCAGACCCCCCUGCAUCUCAUCUCUCUGGUGGCUCCAGCCAGUCCGACUCACCGUGCAGCCAUCCUUCAGGACGUUAUAUGUGAACCUGCUGUUGCCCUCAGCCCGGAUCUCGACAUCGUUGGAACCCUGGAUGAGUAGGGCCUUCUUGAGGUUGCCAGCUGCUUCAUCCAUGUAGGCAAUGCUGUUUUUGCAGUGGUAGGUGAUGUUCUGGGAGCCCUCGGAGGACAGCAGGCGUAAGAAGGUCAUCUGGAUGUUGGCAGUGUUGGGAGCCAGGUUGUCAUCUCCAUAGCUGAACUGUUAGGGCACAGAGUAGUAGCAUGAGGCCUGGGAGCCUGGCAUUCAAUGGGAGUAGGGGGCCCUAGAAGCUGCCAAUUGUCCAGUGUCUCUGCAGGGGAGUGCUGGGGAGCAGGUAACUGGGCCGAUGUUUUUGCUUCCAGGAGUGGAGCAAACCUCUGAGGACCUUCCCCACCUCUAAAUGGGGGGAAAAAUUCUGCUUCUCUUUUUCCUUCCUCUUAUGCCCAAAGGAAAACUGGUGAGAAUGUGCAGGUGCUGAAAGCUUCCAGGGGGAAAGGAAGAUAAAGAUUUUUCAGGAGCCAUCGGGGACCCAGAACAAUCAGCAGCCAUCGUGAACCGCUUGAACCUAGGGAGGUCUCGGCACAGGGGAUGCCGUCACCCGCAGCUGUAGGCUGAUGCCCCUAGAGAGGCCCUGAGUACCAGCGAAUUCAAUCCUCCCUCAGGACACUUACAGCAGGGCCGGUUUCGCCUGAACGUCCACGGGGACCAGGAGGUCCAAUAGGGCCAGGGAUUCCAUUAGCGCCAUCUUUACCAGACGGACCCACAGGGCCAGGCGGACCCUGCAGGAGAGAGGAGAAGUGGGCCAGAAGGACCAGCGGGACCAGAAGCACCUUGAUCUCCAGAAGGACCCUGUGUAGAAGGAAGAGGCAAAGGUCAGAGGUCAGCACAUUCAGGGCAUCCAGGCCUUGGAUGUGUGUGUGUGUCCUACAAGGUGGGGGAGCAGGUACAUGCCCCACCCCCAUUCCCUUCUCCUUCCUCCUCCCUCCAAUCCUGAGAAAGUUCUGGAAAUUUCUUGGGAUGAUCCCAAGAUGUCUUAGCAUGAGAAACUCAAGUGGGCUCUGAGCAAG
Molecule: long non-coding RNA, 1235 nt
Organism: Choloepus didactylus (southern two-toed sloth)
Lineage: Eukaryota; Metazoa; Chordata; Mammalia; Pilosa; Megalonychidae
Exons: 4
Source: RefSeq, a predicted model, not a curated record